CAGCAGCCGCGGGAAUACAGAGGGUGCGAGCGUUAAUCGGAUUUACUGGGCGUAAAGCGUGCGUAGGCGGCUUCUUAAGUCGGAUGUAAAAUCCCUGAGCUUAACUUAGGAAUUGCAUUCGAUACUGGGAAGCUAGAGUAUGGGAGAGGAUGGUAGAAUUCCAGGUGUAGCGGUGAAAUGCGUAGAGAUCUGGAGGAAUACCGAUGGCGAAGGCAGCCAUCUGGCCUAAUACUGACGCUGAGGUACGAAAGCAUGGGGAGCAAACAGGAUUAGAUACCCCAGUAGUCCCUGUCUCUUAUAC
RNAcentral lists this ribosomal RNA (301 nucleotides) under uncultured bacterium. RNAcentral's name for it is "partial 16S ribosomal RNA". It matches the Rfam family "Bacterial small subunit ribosomal RNA", at positions 509 to 807 of the family's 1533-position model. The record is from RNAcentral.